RNAcentral lists this transfer RNA (75 nucleotides) under Rhamnusium bicolor. RNAcentral's name for it is "tRNA-OTHER". Lineage: Eukaryota; Metazoa; Arthropoda; Insecta; Coleoptera; Cerambycidae. The record is from RNAcentral.
AACUUCGUGGUCGAGUGGUAAGGAUACUUGCCUCUUACCUAAGAGUCCCGGGUUCGAUCCCCGGUCGAGGAACUA